CCUACGGGAGGCAGCAGUGAGGAAUAUUGGUCAAUGGGCGGGAGCCUGAACCAGCCAUGCCGCGUGAAGGCGAGUGCCCUACGGGCGUUAAACUUCUUUUGUGCGGGAGGAAUAAGGGCCACGUGUGGCCCGAUGAGAGUACCGCACGAAUAAGCAUCGGCUAACUCCGUGCCAGCAGCGGCGGUGAUAUGUGGGAGGUGAGCGUUAUCCGGGUUUGUUGGGGUUAAAGGGUGCGUAGGCGGUGCUUCAGGUCAGCGGUGAAAAACCGGGGCUCAACCCCGGGGCUGCCGUUGAAACCGGAGCGCUAGAGUUCCGAUGCCGUCGGAGGAAUGUGUGGUGUAGCGGUGAAAUGCAUAGAUAUCACACAGAACACCGAUGGCGAAGGCAUCUUACGAAUCGGAGAUUGACGCUGAGGCACGAAAGCGUGGGUAUCGAACAGGAUUAGAUACCCCUGUAGUC
This 459-nucleotide ribosomal RNA is filed under the name uncultured bacterium. RNAcentral's name for it is "partial 16S ribosomal RNA". It matches the Rfam family "Bacterial small subunit ribosomal RNA", at positions 338 to 795 of the family's 1533-position model. The record is from RNAcentral.